This 1728-nucleotide ribosomal RNA is filed under the name Escherichia coli. Its description in RNAcentral is "partial 23S ribosomal RNA". It matches the Rfam family "Bacterial large subunit ribosomal RNA", at positions 1 to 1770 of the family's 2925-position model. The record is from RNAcentral. Lineage: Bacteria; Pseudomonadati; Pseudomonadota; Gammaproteobacteria; Enterobacterales; Enterobacteriaceae.
GGUUAAGCGACUAAGCGUACACGGUGGAUGCCCUGGCAGUCAGAGGCGAUGAAGGACGUGCUAAUCUGCGAUAAGCGUCGGUGAGGUGAUAUGAACCGUUAUAACCGGCGAUUUCCGAAUGGGGAAACCCAGUGUGUUUCGACACACUAUCAUUAACUGAAUCCAUAGGUUAAUGAGGCGAACCGGGGGAACUGAAACAUCUAAGUACCCCGAGGAAAAGAAAUCAACCGAGAUUCCCCCAGUAGCGGCGAGCGAACGGGGAGGAGCCCAGAGCCUGAAUCAGUGUGUGUGUUAGUGGAAGCGUCUGGAAAGGCGCGCGAUACAGGGUGACAGCCCCGUACACAAAAAUGCACAUAUUGUGAGCUCGAUGAGUAGGGCGGGACACGUGGUAUCCUGUCUGAAUAUGGGGGGACCAUCCUCCAAGGCUAAAUACUCCUGACUGACCGAUAGUGAACCAGUACCGUGAGGGAAAGGCGAAAAGAACCCCGGCGAGGGGAGUGAAAAAGAACCUGAAACCGUGUACGUACAAGCAGUGGGAGCCUCUUAAUGGGGUGACUGCGUACCUUUUGUAUAAUGGGUCAGCGACUUAUAUUCUGUAGCAAGGUUAACCGAAUAGGGGAGCCGAAGGGAAACCGAGUCUUAACUGGGCGUUAAGUUGCAGGGUAUAGACCCGAAACCCGGUGAUCUAGCCAUGGGCAGGUUGAAGGUUGGGUAACACUAACUGGAGGACCGAACCGACUAAUGUUGAAAAAUUAGCGGAUGACUUGUGGCUGGGGGUGAAAGGCCAAUCAAACCGGGAGAUAGCUGGUUCUCCCCGAAAGCUAUUUAGGUAGCGCCUCGUGAAUUCAUCUCCGGGGGUAGAGCACUGUUUCGGCAAGGGGGUCAUCCCGACUUACCAACCCGAUGCAAACUGCGAAUACCGGAGAAUGUUAUCACGGGAGACACACGGCGGGUGCUAACGUCCGUCGUGAAGAGGGAAACAACCCAGACCGCCAGCUAAGGUCCCAAAGUCAUGGUUAAGUGGGAAACGAUGUGGGAAGGCCCAGACAGCCAGGAUGUUGGCUUAGAAGCAGCCAUCAUUUAAAGAAAGCGUAAUAGCUCACUGGUCGAGUCGGCCUGCGCGGAAGAUGUAACGGGGCUAAACCAUGCACCGAAGCUGCGGCAGCGACGCUUAUGCGUUGUUGGGUAGGGGAGCGUUCUGUAAGCCUGUGAAGGUGUGCUGUGAGGCAUGCUGGAGGUAUCAGAAGUGCGAAUGCUGACAUAAGUAACGAUAAAGCGGGUGAAAAGCCCGCUCGCCGGAAGACCAAGGGUUCCUGUCCAACGUUAAUCGGGGCAGGGUGAGUCGACCCCUAAGGCGAGGCCGAAAGGCGUAGUCGAUGGGAAACAGGUUAAUAUUCCUGUACUUGGUGUUACUGCGAAGGGGGGACGGAGAAGGCUAUGUUGGCCGGGCGACGGUUGUCCCGGUUUAAGCGUGUAGGCUGGUUUUCCAGGCAAAUCCGGAAAACCAAGGCUGAGGCGUGAUGACGAGGCACUACGGUGCUGAAGCAACAAAUGCCCUGCUUCCAGGAAAAGCCUCUAAGCAUCAGGUAACAUCAAAUCGUACCCCAAACCGACACAGGUGGUCAGGUAGAGAAUACCAAGGCGCUUGAGAGAACUCGGGUGAAGGAACUAGGCAAAAUGGUGCCGUAACUUCGGGAGAAGGCACGCUGAUAUGUAGGUGAAGCGACU